RNAcentral lists this ribosomal RNA (438 nucleotides) under uncultured bacterium. RNAcentral describes it as "bacterial SSU rRNA". It matches the Rfam family "Bacterial small subunit ribosomal RNA", at positions 958 to 1397 of the family's 1533-position model. The record is from RNAcentral.
AACGCGAAGAACCUUACCCAGGCUCGAAAUGUAAUGGACGAUAUCAGAGACGAUAUUUUCCGCAAGGACCGUUAUAUAGGUGCUGCAUGGCUGUCGUCAGCUCGUGCCGUGAGGUGUUUGGUUAAGUCCAGCAACGAGCGCAACCCUUAUCAUUAGUUGCCAACACGUAAGGUGGGGACUCUAGUGAGACUGCCCAGGUUAACUGGGAGGAAGGUGAGGAUGACGUCAAGUCCGCAUGGCCUUUAUGUCCGGGGCUACACACGUGCCACAAUGGUCGGUACAGAAGGCAGCAAGACCGCAAGGUGGAGCAAAUCCGUAAAGCCGAUCACAGUUCAGAUUGUAGUCUGCAACUCGACUACAUGAAGUUGGAAUUGCUAGUAAUGACGUGUCAGCAACAACGUCGUGAAUACGUUCCCGGGCCUUGUACACACCGCCCGU